AUUGAACGCUGGCGGCAUGCUUUACACAUGCAAGUCGAACGGUAACAGGCCUUCGGGUGCUGACGAGUGGCGCACGGGUGAGUAAUGCAUCGGAACGUGCCCAGAGGUGGGGGAUAACGCAGCGAAAGCUGUGCUAAUACCGCAUGUGAUCUGAGGAUGAAAGCGGGGGACCAGGCAGCAAUGUUUGGCCUCGCGCCUUUGGAGCGGCCGAUGUCAGAUUAGGUAGUUGGUGGGGUAAAGGCCUACCAAGCCGACGAUCUGUAGCUGGUCUGAGAGGACGACCAGCCACACUGGGACUGAGACACGCCCCAGACUCCUACGGGAGGCAGCAGUGGGGAAUUUUGGACAAUGGGCGCAAGCCUGAUCCAGCAAUGCCGCGUGCGGGAAGAAGGCCUUCGGGUUGUAAACCGCUUUUGUACGGAACGAAAAGGCUCUGGCUAAUACCUGGGGCUGAUGACGGUACCGUAAGAAUAAGCACCGGCUAACUACGUG
Molecule: ribosomal RNA, 492 nt
Filed under: uncultured bacterium
Lineage: Bacteria
Description: partial 16S ribosomal RNA
Rfam family: Bacterial small subunit ribosomal RNA
Source: RNAcentral